AUUAAUUAAAUGUAUAUUUCUCGACUCUCGCAUCGUAGCGUCCGUCAACAUACGCAUUGUCAUUCACAACCGACAAGAACCGCCCAUUCAGGCUAGUGCUUCUGACUGACAUGUAAACUGGCCAACCAUCGAUGAGAAGCAACGCGUCUGUACGAUCCAGCCAAUGAAAUUAAAUAUUUUGGAGCCAGGUGUUUGUUGAUGAUGUGUAAGUUAGUAAUGAAUGAGUAAAAUUGAUACAACAGCUUCAGCAGAUGCAAAUGCAGGGUGUCAAUGCUGAUCACAAUGCUGUUCAAGAUGAUAUACCAGGAUAUAUUUCUCAGAACCAGGGAUGUGCCACUGCAGCUGACCUUGAGAGUUCACUCUCUAUACCUGCAACUCCUCGUCUGAUACUUCUUGGAGAAACGGGAAGCCGCUUCCAGCGCUGGAUGCUCAGCCUUGAGGGCCAAAUUAUUUGCGAAGGGAAGGGAUCCAGUCCACCUUUGUGACAGGGCUGGCGUCUCUUUUUUCCUGUUUUUAUAACUUUAACCUACAGUAUCAAGAGGAGGCAGCCUGCACGCUUGAAUUCAUCCAGAGACGCUUUGUGGGUAUAAAUCCAGAAAAAGGGACAAAGACUGCAAAGGGGAAAAAAAGAAGAACUGUUAAUUCACACGUCGCCAGCCUCUUGCGCAAGCUCAUGGACUUUCAGUGGGAUUUCAUUUGAAAAUGACCCAAGACUUUCAGAAUGAAGAUGAAGAGUUCCAUUAAGUGUUAAGUACUGGUUUUAUUGUAUUCAUACAUGUUGAAUUUUAGUGGUUUAAGUGUUGAGGUUCAGUAUUUUGUUAUAAUGAACAAUGUAUUGGAGUUUAAAAAUGUAAGUGUAUUUGCUACUUUUUAAGCUGAGAAAAUGAGAUUUGUUUGUGAAUAAUCUGAGCCUAUGUGUAACAUUUUUAGGUAACCAGGAGUCAGUGUAUAUCCUUGGUUUGAGUUUUUUUAGCCAAAUGUUUGCAGUUCAGGGAACAUUAAAUGUUGAGGUUUAGGGCCCUAUCUUGCACUGACGCAGCGCAAAGCCAAACGCAAGUGUCUUUGCUAGUUUAAGACAAGACACAGUUGUUAUUUUCCACAGAUGUCAGCAAUGAACAUAUAUAUUAUAUACAGUAUAUUUCUGUGAUUGGUCUGAGCCAUGUAUUCCUACAUUUUGUGUGUUUGUAUUACAAUAAAAAAGUUAAUUUCU
Pimephales promelas (fathead minnow) is the source of this 1210-nucleotide long non-coding RNA. RefSeq lists it as uncharacterized. Lineage: Eukaryota; Metazoa; Chordata; Actinopteri; Cypriniformes; Leuciscidae. The record is from RefSeq and is a predicted model, not a curated record.